Bombina bombina (fire-bellied toad) is the source of this 894-nucleotide long non-coding RNA. RefSeq lists it as uncharacterized. The transcript is spliced from 4 exons. The record is from RefSeq and is a predicted model, not a curated record. NCBI's taxonomy places the organism in Eukaryota, Metazoa, Chordata, Amphibia, Anura, Bombinatoridae.
AAAAUAUAUCAGUCAUAUGCCCUGUUGCAAGACUGGAAAGCCAGGGCUAUUCAAGCAGGGCUGUCCUUGAAAUGACCAAACUACUAGGGGCAUUUUUUGGCUUCUGGAUCCUUUCAGGUGACAGGGGGCAUUGUAACUUGGGUGCAUACGUCCACUCUUUCUAAGCAUCUUUCACAAGUUCUUGAUGGACUUUAUGAUAAUUGCAGAAACUUUUUUUUUUUCUCACAUCACCCAGAGGUUGGCGUGAUGUUAAGAGGGACUUUUUUCUUUUAGGUGGCAUACCCAAUGUCCUUGGGGCCAUUGACUGCACUCAUAUUGCCCUAAGAACUCCUGUGCGCAGGGAGAUAAUAUUUAGAUAUCGGAAACACUUCCACUCCUUAAAUGUGCAGAUCAUAUGUGAUGCAAACAUGCGCAUAUUAAAUGUCGUGGCAGGGUUCCCAGGAAGUAGCCAUGAUGCCUACAUCCUCAGGACUUCUGGUGUGUAGAGAUUGUUUGAGACAAAUCAAAUGCCUGAAGGACAUCUCCUCGCUGAUUCUGCAUAUCCUCUUAAAAAAUGGAUUUGGACACCAUUGAAAGAGAACCAGGUUGUUGGGCCUGCUGAAUUAAGAUAUAAUGAAGCACAUAUCCGAACACGUGCUAUAAUAGAAUGACUGGUGUUCUUAAAAUGUGCUUUCGCUGCCUGGACAGAUCAGGGGGGGAUCUCCAAUUCAGUCUGGAAAAAGCUAUAAAAAUCAUAGUGGCAUGUUGCUGUCUACACAACAUGGCACAGGACUUACUUCCAACACCACAGCCCCCAGAUUGAAGAUUCUCAGAAAUGGAAUACCAUUCACCUCCCUCUCUCCUCAUCCCCAUAUUUACCACAUUGUCCCUAAAUAAAUGUGUACUUUACUCAAA